UUUUUUUUUUUUUUUUUUUUUUGUCUUUUUGCUAUUUCUUGGGCCGCUCCCGCGGCAUAUGGAGGUUCCCAGGCUAGGGGUUGAAUCGGAGCUGUAGCCACCGGCCUACGCCAGAGCCACAGCAACACGGGAUCCGAGCCACGUCUGCAACCUACACCUCAGCUCACGCCAACGCCGGAUCGUUAACCCACUGAGCAAGGGCGGGGACUGAAACCGCAACCUCAUGGUUCCUUGUCCUAUUCGUUAACCACUGAGCCACGACGGGAACUCCAGAUUCCUUUUAUCUUAACCUUUAGAUGUGAUAUGUAGAUUUACCUUGCAGAACAGAGCAUAUACAUUUCUCAUUGGUCUACAACUCUGUGCCUUUACUUUUGUCAAGUGAAAACAAUAAACUAGAUUAAUGUACAUUUUCUUCUUUGUAGUGUUUCCCGUUGUCAAACAUGGAGCCCUUCUUUUUUAAAUGGUUGGCGCAAUGGUUGACUCUGUUUUGAAGCUUGUAUUUAAGAAAGUAUUUUAAAAGAAUGAAGUUCAUGCUGUUAACAUUCUUAGAAAUCAGUCCUCAAAGACCAUUGCACCACUUGUCAAUCUAGCAGACACUGCAGUGUAACAACAAAGACCAUGAAAGUUGCUUGUAAACUGCUUUGAGAUGGAGUAGUUUACUUUCUCAACAGAUGAGAACAGAGGCUUUUUUUUUUUUUUUAACAAAAUGAAGUCCAAUUUUAUAAAGCUAUCUGAAUCUUCUUAACUGCUUUCUUUAAACACCUAUAGUAAAAUCUUUCAUGUAAAUUUCAUUAAGCUUCAAGGUCAUUUAGGAGAAAAUGGUAAGCCUAUCAAUGACAGGAGUGCUGUGCAUUCAGUGGAGGUGUUUGUCUAUCAAAUGGAUACUUGUUAAGACAAUAGACUCAGGCGUUCAUGCCUGUUAUUACUAGUAUAUUGGGAAAGAGAUCAUAAUUUAACAUAUAGUCUCUCUCUUUCCUGCCUAAGAGCAACUCUACCAUACAAUAUGUACUUGAAGUCACUAUGGUUAUUUUUACUUUUUUACUUUAUUUUAUUUUUAAAUUAAAAAGAGAAGAGAGAUAGAAAAUAAUAUAUUAUUCCUUUGACUUUAAUCUUAUCUCAAUGUCUAGGAUUGUCCCAAAAAUUUUGUGAGAGAAAUAUAUAAUUAAGCCAAGAUUGGACUUUAUAUUAGAAGGAUAUUUUUAUAAGUAUUAAAAUUAUAGACUUUCACAAUCUGUACUUAUUGUUUUCAUAAUAUCUAUUUACAGUUUUGAGACUAAUAUCCACAGCAGAGAAAAGUAUUUGAAAAGGAAGAUAUUGUUUUCCUUCUUUUUUAAAAUUUCUGAAAUGUAACCAAUUAUAAAAGGGCAAUAAUCUAAGUUUUUGCUUAAUUAUUUUCAUACAUGCAUCUCAAAAAAUGUUGCAAUGGCUUAAUUAUACAUAUGAAUAUGCACUGAUACAGACUGAAAUUCUAUUAUGCAGACGACAAGAUAUAGAAUUUUUAAAUACUGAUGAAUUUCACAUAUAAUUUAAUUGUGCAAUUUACUGGAAUUAUAAUUAUGAUCGCAGAAAAGGAAGAUUCUCUUCAAGUAAGUAAAUAAUUAGUAUUGUCAAUAAACUUGUAAAUAGUGUGCCAUGUGAGCUUGUUAGUUGGUGUAACUUGCUGAUAAUUGUGACUGCUAUAUAUAAUUUUGAAAACACAUUGCUAAUAGAAGAUAAUCUCUACACCGAAGUAAACAAAAUCAUUUUAAGUCAAAAUAAUGAACAAUACAAAAAUUGUACUUUGUAUUGAGGUGAUCUGAUUUGAUGCAUCUCAGAGACAAAAGGAUGCUAUGAUGAAAUUUUUAUUAGCCUGAAUGCUCUAGAAUAGCUGUGUAUAGUUAAUUAUGCUUUGGAUUGAGAGUUAAUUGGCAUAGCUCUUGUUUCAAUUAUUUAUCAAUUUUCCUUAAAAACUUUAGAUGAUUUUUACUUUAGUAAAUAAAAUAUAGUAAAACAUACUGAGCAACAUGAUUUUUAGCUAAAUUUAUUUUUUAAACAUAAAUUGAAUUUGUUCUAUGUUAUAGUAUAGUUUCAAGAUUAGAAAUGCAAAAAUGAAUAAAUCCUAACUUUCUAAGAACAGUGUCUUAAUAGAUGCAUCAGAAAUUUUUUUUAUUCAUUUUAAUUUAAUUUAAUUUUUUCUUUUUGGGGCUGCACUUGCAGCAUAUGGAAGUUCCCAGGCUAGGUAUUGAAUUGGAGCUGCAGCUGUAGUCCUAUGCCAUAACCAGAGCAAGGAGGGAUCCAAGCUUCAUCUGCAACCUAUGCCAUAGCUUGUGGCAGUGGAUCCUUAACCCACUGAGUGAGGCCAGGGAUCAAACCCACAUCCUCAUGGACACUAUGUUGGGUUCUUAACCUGCUGAGCCACAACAAGAACUCCACCAUCAGAAAUGCUGACAAUAACUAUACAAUAUGCAUGGGCCAAAAUAGUUGUUACUAAACUUUUUAAUCUUUGAAAAUCUAAUAGGUAAAAAUGAUAUUCAUUGUAUUUUAAUAUUUAUUUAUUAGAACAUGUUUGAUCAUUUUCAUCUUUUAAAGGUCCAUUUGUAAUGCUUGUGAUGUGAUCUAUAUUUUCAUAUCCAUUGUUCACUUUCUCAUUUGGCUCAUUUGGUUUUUUUCUUAGUGAUAACUGUUAAAUAACUGUAACUCCUCCUGCAGCCCUUUGGUAAUCAUCAAGCCAAGCCAAGUAAUUCAGGAUAAUCUUUCUAUCUCAAGGUCCUUAAUUUAAUCACAUAUGAAGUCCUUUUUGCCCAGUAAGGAACAUAUACAUGAGUUACUGGGAUUAGAAUGUGGACAUCUUUGAGGGUCAUUAUGUAGUUUACCACAGGGUACAAGAGGCCAACAAAUGAUCAGUCACAAGAUUAAAAAUACAUUCCAUAGGAGUUCCCAUUGUGGUGAAGUGGAAACAAAUCUGACUAGGAACCCUGAGGUUGCAGAUUCAAUGCCUGGCCACUCUCAGUGGGGAAAGGACCCGGCAUUGCCAUGAGCUAUGGUGUAGGUCGCAGAUGCAGCUCGGAUCUGGCCUUGCUGUGGCUGUGGUGUAGGCUGGCAGCUGUAGCUCUGACUAGACCCUAACCUGGGAACCUCCAUAUGCUGCAGGUGCAGUCCAAGAAAGCAAACAAACCAACAAAAAAAUACAUUCCCUAGAAGUAGGAGGAUGGAAACUUAUAAAAAAUAGGAGCACCUGAAGAAACUCAGAAGUCCAUUUUUACACACACAUAUAUGUGUAGACAUAAAAUAUUUUUCCAAUUAAGCAAUUAAGUAGGAUAUUGGAGGGAGAGAUUAUUACAUUGGAGACCAAAUUCAGGCCCUGGAAUGUCAAGGGCAAAAAUAAACAGUGAUGGAAAUCCUGAAGGAUAAUAGAGAGUAGGAUAGAUUCAGAAAAGUCAUAAUAAAAAUGAUAGGCAUUCCAGAAGAAAUAACAGAUGGAAGAAAGGCUAUAGUUACAUAAUAGGAGAAUAUUCAUCUGUGAUGAAAAAAGACCAGCAUCUGCAGACCUAGAGGACUUGCUAAGCUCCAGCUGUAUUGGUAGGAAAAGACACAUUACUUGGCACAUCCUGUAAACCUUCCAAAUGAUGGACACAAAGGAAAAAAC
Molecule: long non-coding RNA, 3625 nt
Filed under: Sus scrofa (pig)
Lineage: Eukaryota; Metazoa; Chordata; Mammalia; Artiodactyla; Suidae
Description: lncRNA (ENSSSCG00000060308.1)
Source: RNAcentral